GAUGAACGCUGGCGGCGUGCCUAAUACAUGCAAGUCGAGCGAACAGACGAGGAGCUUGCUCCUCUGACGUUAGCGGCGGACGGGUGAGUAACACGUGGAUAACCUACCUAUAAGACUGGGAUAACUUCGGGAAACCGGAGCUAAUACCGGAUAAUAUAGUGAACCGCAUGGUUCAAUAGUGAAAGACGGUUUUGCUGUCACUUAUAGAUGGAUCCGCGCCGCAUUAGCUAGUUGGUAAGGUAACGGCUUACCAAGGCAACGAUGCGUAGCCGACCUGAGAGGGUGAUCGGCCACACUGGAACUGAGACACGGUCCAGACUCCUACGGGAGGCAGCAGUAGGGAAUCUUCCGCAAAGGGCGAAAGCUUGACGGAGCAACGCCGCGUGAGUGAUGAAGGUCUUCGGAUCGUAAAACUCUGUUAUUAGGGAAGAACAAAUGUGUAAGUAACUAUGCACGUCUUGACGGUACCUAAUCAGAAAGCCACGGCUAACUACGUG
Molecule: ribosomal RNA, 497 nt
Filed under: uncultured bacterium
Lineage: Bacteria
Description: partial 16S ribosomal RNA
Rfam family: Bacterial small subunit ribosomal RNA
Source: RNAcentral